RNAcentral lists this ribosomal RNA (374 nucleotides) under uncultured organism. Its description in RNAcentral is "partial 16S ribosomal RNA". It matches the Rfam family "Bacterial small subunit ribosomal RNA", at positions 527 to 896 of the family's 1533-position model. The record is from RNAcentral.
GUAGGUGGCAAGCGUUGUCCGGAAUUAUUGGGCGUAAAGCGCGCGCAGGCGGUCCUUUAAGUCUGAUGUGAAAGCCCACGGCUCAACCGUGGAGGGUCAUUGGAAACUGGGGGACUUGUGUACAGAAGAGGAAAGCGGAAUUCCAAGUGUAGCGGUGAAAUGCGUAGAGAUUUGGAGGAACACCAGUGGCGAAGGCGGCUUUCUGGUCUGUAACUGACGCUGAGGCGCGAAAGCGUGGGGAGCAAACAGGAUUAGAUACCCUGGUAGUCCACGCCGUAAACGAUGAGUGCUAAGUGUUAGGGGGUUUCCCGCCCCCCUUAGUGCUGCAGCUAACGCAUUAAGCACUCCGCCUGGGGAGUACGGCCGCAAGGCUG